UACGAAGGGGGCUAGCGUUGUUCGGAAUCACUGGGCGUAAAGGGCGCGUAGGCGGCCGAUCAAGUCGGGGGUGAAAGCCUGUGGCUUAACCACAGAAUGGCCUUCGAUACUGUUUGGCUUGAGACCGGAAGAGGUUAGUGGAACUGCGAGUGUAGAGGUGAAAUUCGUAGAUAUUCGCAAGAACACCAGUGGCGAAGGCGGCUGACUGGUCCUGUUCUGACGCUGAGGCGCGAAAGCGUGGGGAGCAAACAGG
This 253-nucleotide ribosomal RNA is filed under the name uncultured bacterium. Its description in RNAcentral is "partial 16S ribosomal RNA". It matches the Rfam family "Bacterial small subunit ribosomal RNA", at positions 524 to 776 of the family's 1533-position model. The record is from RNAcentral.